UUUCACCCAGGUUAUCAACAUGUUAUGCCCAUCUCAAAUCACCGCUCUACCUUUCUAACGAGAGUUUGAGUAGGACAGAAACGAGGGUGGAUUCCUCAUACCGGCGACCCCAAUUUCCGGACAAGCCACACUUCGCGACCACCACCUUCGUCUCCUAACGACGAUGGCAGCGACUUCUUCUCCCUGACCCGACGUUUCAAGUCACAUCAGCGGUUGAUGGCAGUUCUAAGGUGAUGUCUGGGUGUCUUAACUUCGGUGACGAUGAUGAUAAUGGGCUCAAGAUGAACGAUUGUCUCAUUGUAUCGCUCCCCUUUUGCGAGAACUGCCAUUCAUUCUUGGAUUUGGGUUUAGGGUUGUUUUUUUGAGGUUGUUUUGCUGAGCGAUGGUUAUGAGAAAAUCAGCCUUCAGAUUCACUUACAAGGUAGGGCGUUAACUGCUGCUGCUGCUGAUGAA
This 453-nucleotide long non-coding RNA is filed under the name Helianthus annuus (common sunflower). RNAcentral describes it as "sRNA HanXRQr2_Chr05g0227661". The record is from RNAcentral. Lineage: Eukaryota; Viridiplantae; Streptophyta; Magnoliopsida; Asterales; Asteraceae.